Long non-coding RNA from Patella vulgata (common limpet), 541 nucleotides. RefSeq lists it as uncharacterized. The transcript is spliced from 3 exons. Lineage: Eukaryota; Metazoa; Mollusca; Gastropoda; Patellidae. The record is from RefSeq and is a predicted model, not a curated record.
UCUUGUCCAUAUUGUCAACAGUUUCAUACACGAGUACCUGAAUUGUUGAGAAAACAUAUUACUCAGGUUCAUCCACACAAGUGUCAGAUAUGUCGUACCGAUUUUAAAAACAAGAAAGAAGCUAAAAAUCAUCGUAGAAUACACGUCAAACAAUUUCAUCAUUGUACUGUAUGUCAGCGGGAUUUUGCCACUAAAUUUGUUUUUGCAAGACACGAGCGUAGUUUACAACAUUUAACGUUGGUUCGAGUACAACGACAGAUUUUAGAAGUUAUUUUGAAGACAUAUAUCAACACAACAGGCAGUACAGCUUCUUUACCCGAUUUAUCACAAUUUGCAGAUCUGAUAACAUUUCCAAACAUGAACAUUUCAAACACUGAUUCCCAUGAUACCAGAGAUCCUGUACAACAAGCUGAAGAUAUCAGACGAUUUUACCAUGACAACCCAGAAAUUCAAAAUCUCUUGACAAAAGUUGAAAAAAGUCUGAAAGAUCAAACUAACAAGAAAACAUCAGAAAUAAUUUUACCAGAAGUAUCAGGGUCUG